CACCUCUCAGGGUCACACCUGGAGAAUUUCUGGUACUCUACCAGUCUCGACUAUGGGAGGGAGAGUCAAGCAGAGGCCUAACCGUUCCAUUCCUAGCUUGGCUAGCAGUUAGCGAGUGGAAGGCCAUCUGCUACAAGG
This is a small nucleolar RNA of Tachyglossus aculeatus (Australian echidna), 138 nucleotides long. The record is from RefSeq and is a predicted model, not a curated record. NCBI's taxonomy places the organism in Eukaryota, Metazoa, Chordata, Mammalia, Monotremata, Tachyglossidae.